GACGAACGCUGGCGGCGUGCCUAAUACAUGCAAGUCGAACGCACUCUCGUUUAGAUUGAAGGAGCUUGCUCCUGAUUGAUAAACAUUUGAGUGAGUGGCGGACGGGUGAGUAACACGUGGGUAACCUGCCCUAAAGUGGGGGAUAACAUUUGGAAACAGAUGCUAAUACCGCAUAAAACCUAACACCGCAUGGUGUAGGGUUGAAAGAUGGUUUCGGCUAUCACUUUAGGAUGGACCCGCGGUGCAUUAGUUAGUUGGUGAGGUAAAGGCUCACCAAGACCGUGAUGCAUAGCCGACCUGAGAGGGUAAUCGGCCACACUGGGACUGAGACACGGCCCAGACUCCUACGGGAGGCAGCAGUAGGGAAUCUUCCACAAUGGACGAAAGUCUGAUGGAGCAACGCCGCGUGAGUGAAGAAGGUUUCGGAUCGUAAAACUCUGUUGCUGGAGAAGAAUGUAUCUGAUAGUAACUGAUCAGGUAGUGACGGUAUCCAACCAGAA
Molecule: ribosomal RNA, 500 nt
Filed under: uncultured bacterium
Lineage: Bacteria
Description: bacterial SSU rRNA
Rfam family: Bacterial small subunit ribosomal RNA
Source: RNAcentral